Molecule: unclassified non-coding RNA, 788 nt
Filed under: Hevea brasiliensis (rubber tree)
Lineage: Eukaryota; Viridiplantae; Streptophyta; Magnoliopsida; Malpighiales; Euphorbiaceae
Source: RNAcentral
GUAUCCCUUACAUCGUCUUUGGAGGUCAGUAAAUGGCAAGUUUCAACCUUUCCUUUGUUAUUGGAUUAUUUUUGGUGAUGUCUGUUUUGGUUUGUUUCUUGCGUGGAUGGGCUUAAUUUGAUUAGAUUUUUCCCCCUUUUAGCUUUUUAUAGCUUGAUUCCAACUUUCUCUGAACAAAUCCAAAUUUCCAAAAUUUAUUGAUGUUCAUUUUCUUUAUUCAUAAUUCCCAAGGGUUAGUGUGUAGACCAAUCUAUGGAAAUUACAAAGGAAUUUCCAGUUUUUUGAAUUCCAGAUUGCUCUACAGCCUUCGUAGAUCUUGUUAUUUAGACCCUUCUCUCUUCUGCCUUUCUUUAUUCAAUUGCCGAGGAUGCAAGAUUCUAAGUUUCUAGAGAUGAUGGUAACAAGACAAUGGAGUGAAAACUGCAUUGUCUUCCAUGCUUAGUCAUGUGUUUUUUCAUUUUCGAAAUUGCAAAUGGAAAACUUUCGCUUAAAUUGUUUGUGGUGGGGUCAGUGAAACUGUUUGCAAUUGCAGUAGCACUGAAGCUGCCUAAGUUCUGAUAAUAAAUAGCCAUUUUUAUUUGGAUUCACAAAUCAAGUAAAUUUCUUCACAUUCGCAUACAAAUUAUUGCUUGAACUCUUCUCAUUACCGACUCAAAUUGUAUUGUCAUGCAAUGUUACUGGAAUCCUCGCGUAGCUUUUUGAACUAUCCCAAGUGUCUUCUUUUGUUGUUUGGACAUUAGUGAGUGCUUGCAAGUUAAGAAAUGAUAGUUGGGAACAAAAAUGAUGCU